GAACGCGAAGAACCUUACCAUCCCUUGACAUGGCAUGUUACCUCGAGAGAUCGGGGAUCCUCUUCGGAGGCGUGCACACAGGUGCUGCAUGGCUGUCGUCAGCUCGUGUCGUGAGAUGUUGGGUUAAGUCCCGCAACGAGCGCAACCCACGUCCUUAGUUGCCAUCAUUCAGUUGGGCACUCUAGGGAGACUGCCGGUGAUAAGCCGCGAGGAAGGUGUGGAUGACGUCAAGUCCUCAUGGCCCUUACGGGAUGGGCUACACACGUGCUACAAUGGCGGUGACAGUGGGACGCGAAGCCGCGAGGUGGAGCAAAUCCCCAAAAACCGUCUCAGUUCGGAUUGCACUCUGCAACUCGGGUGCAUGAAGGCGGAAUCGCUAGUAAUCGUGGAUCAGCACGCCACGGUGAAUACGUUCCCGGGUCUUGUACACACC
RNAcentral lists this ribosomal RNA (433 nucleotides) under uncultured bacterium. Its description in RNAcentral is "bacterial SSU rRNA". It matches the Rfam family "Bacterial small subunit ribosomal RNA", at positions 957 to 1391 of the family's 1533-position model. The record is from RNAcentral.